This 270-nucleotide ribosomal RNA is filed under the name uncultured bacterium. RNAcentral describes it as "partial 16S ribosomal RNA". It matches the Rfam family "Bacterial small subunit ribosomal RNA", at positions 28 to 295 of the family's 1533-position model. The record is from RNAcentral.
GAUGAACGCUAGCGGCAGGCCUAAUACAUGCAAGCCGAACGGCAAGCUUGGUAGCAAUACAAAGCCUAGAGUGGCGUAAGGGUGCGUAACACGUAUGCAAUCUGCCCACAACAGGAGGAUAGCUCCCCGAAAGGGGAAUUAAUACUCCAUAAGAUCACACGAGGGCAUCUGAGAGUGAUUAAACCAAAAGGGGUUGUGGAUGAGCAUGCGGUUGAUUAGCUAGUUGGCGGGGUAACGGCCCACCAAGGCGAUGAUCAAUAGGGGAACUGA